RNAcentral lists this long non-coding RNA (517 nucleotides) under Equus caballus (horse). RNAcentral's name for it is "lncRNA (ENSECAG00000044424.1)". Lineage: Eukaryota; Metazoa; Chordata; Mammalia; Perissodactyla; Equidae. The record is from RNAcentral.
CUGAGGGCCGUUUGGGUUGUUUCCACCUUCUGGCUGCUGUGACUAGCGCCGUAAUGGCCACGGGGUGCAAGCGUUCGUGGGGACACAGUCUUCAUUUCUCGGGAGUACACCCAGCAGUGGACCAGCCGUUUCCAGACUCUUCUCCCAGCCCAACCCGCAGCGCACGAGAGCUGCCAUUCCUCCACAUCUGUGCGACAGUCGCGGGCUGUCUUCUGACCCUGGGAGGCUCGGAGCCGAGCAGCAGAGUCACCUGACCAGCCCGGCCUCUUUCUAAAUCGUGAUGGUCUUUUCUCCCGCUUCGGAGGUCACCCUGCCCCCACCAUCGGAAGCAACUCCCCUCAGCGAGGUCACAGCUGGUCACAUGUGUCAAACGUCCUUUCAUCUCUGCCUUUCUCUUGUCAAGUGAUGGCGCUGCGUGACACAAGGGCCUUCCUGCUGCGGCCUUGGGGCUCUCUGGGGUAAGCGCCAUGCACAUCCAGACCUUGAAGUCUUAGUAAUAAAUAAAAGCCAGAUUGGA